AGCGAACGCUGGCGGCAGGCUUAACACAUGCAAGUCGAGCGGACCUUUCUGGUUCAGCGGCGGACGGGUGAGUAACGCGUGGGAACGUGCCUUCCGGUUCGGACUAACCCUGGGAAACUAGUGCUAAUACCGGAUACGCCCUUAUGGGGGAAGGUUUACUGCCGGAGGAUCGGCCCGCGUCUGAUUAGCUGGUUGGUGGGGUAACGGCCAACCAAGGCGCGGAUCAUUGGCUGGUUUGAGAGGAUGAUCAGCUACAAUGGGAAUGAGACACGGCCCAGAACCCGACGGGGGGGUGCAGUGUAGAAUAUUAGGGAAUGGACGCAAACCUGGUCCAGCCAUGUCGCGUGAGUGAUGAAGGCCUUAGGGUUGUAAAGCCCUCUUAUCCGGGACGAUAAUGACGGUACCGGAAGAAGAAGCCCCGGCUAACUACGUG
Molecule: ribosomal RNA, 433 nt
Filed under: uncultured bacterium
Lineage: Bacteria
Description: partial 16S ribosomal RNA
Rfam family: Bacterial small subunit ribosomal RNA
Source: RNAcentral